RNAcentral lists this long non-coding RNA (554 nucleotides) under Daphnia magna. Its description in RNAcentral is "uncharacterized LOC123472251, transcript variant X2". The record is from RNAcentral. Lineage: Eukaryota; Metazoa; Arthropoda; Branchiopoda; Diplostraca; Daphniidae.
AUCGUGGAAUGGGUCGAUUUCCAAGGUAUAUCGUGGAAAGCGAUCGUGUACCACUAUACGUAUAUAUACACAGCAGACAACAGGCCCAAAGAAUCAAAAUUCAAACUUGACACGUGUGGUGAAUUGUUUAUUGACUUCAUAUACAAGUUUUAAGUACAAUGUCUUCCAGGCCAAAUAGAAAAUGCAAAGCCACUAAUCCACCUCUGUCAACAGUGUGUAAAAGUUCAAAGAUAUAAAAUAUCAACAUGGCCGCGCACAUCUAGAUGCUACUUAUAGUAAAGCUGCACCUGUACUUUUAUUUAUUGCUUUCCAACUAGAUGAUGCUUAUUGACUAUGCCUCUUGAUCAAGUAGCCGACGGCUACUACAAGAAAACUGAAUAAUUGCCGAAAUGAUGGGUGCCGGCACGUUAUGGCAAUUUUUGUUUUUCGAAGGUUUUAGAUGUAAUUGUUCCAAAUAAAUUACGACCUAUAUUCCAAAACCUGGCUCCAUGGUUCAGCAUAAACGUACCAUAAAAUUUAUGAUUUCUUACAAACCCAAGUAGCCGAACAUAAGG